RNAcentral lists this ribosomal RNA (375 nucleotides) under uncultured bacterium. RNAcentral describes it as "bacterial SSU rRNA". It matches the Rfam family "Bacterial small subunit ribosomal RNA", at positions 28 to 404 of the family's 1533-position model. The record is from RNAcentral.
GACGAACGCUGGCGGCGUGCUUAACACAUGCAAGUCGAGCGGUAAGGCCCUUUCGGGGGUACACGAGCGGCGAACGGGUGAGUAACACGUGGGUGACCUGCCCUCAGCUCUGGGAUAAGCCUGGGAAACUGGGUCUAAUACCGGAUAUGACUCCAUGACGCAUGUUGUGGGGUGGAAAGCCUUGUGCGGCUGAGGAUGGGCCCGCGGCCUAUCAGCUUGUUGGUGGGGUGAGGCCCUACCAAGGCGACGACGGGUAGCCGGCCUGAGAGGGCGACCGGCCACACUGGGACUGAGACACGGCCCAGACUCCUACGGGAGGCAGCAGUGGGGAAUCUUGCGCAAUGGGCGAAAGCCUGACGCAGCGACGCCGCGUGA